UAAACGGCGGCCGUAACUAUAACGGUCCUAAGGUAGCGAAAUUCCUUGUCGGGUAAGUUCCGACCUGCACGAAUGGUCUAAUGAGUUGAACACUGUCUCCUCCACGAGCCCGGUGAAAUUGUAGUAUCGGUGAAGAUGCCGGUUACCCGUCACGGGACGGAAAGACCCCGUGAACCUUCACUACAACUUUGCAUUGAUUUUGAAUUACGGAUGUGUAGAAUAGUUGGGACACUUUGAAGCAGUGGCGCCAGCCAUUGUGGAGUGGUCGUUGAAAUACCAACCUUCUUUGAUUUAGAGUCUAACCCCUUGCGGGGAACAGUGCAUGGUGGGUAGUUUGACUGGGGUGGUCGCCUCCUAAAAUGUAACGGAGGCUUGCAAAGGUACCCUCAGUACGGUUGGUAAUCGUACGAAGAGCGCAUUAGUAUAAGGGUGCUUGACUGUGAGGCAUACAGGCCGAGCAGGAGCGAAAGCUGGCUAAAGUGAUCCGGCGGUUCUGUAUGGAAGGGCCGUCGCUCAAAGGAUAAAAGGUACUCCGGGGAUAACAGGCUGAUCUCCCCCAAGAGCUCAUAUCGACGGGGAGGUUUGGCACCUCGAUGUCGGUUCGUCACAUCCUGGGGCUGGAGAAGGUCCCAAGGGUUCGGCUGUUCGCCGAUUAAAGUGGCACGUGAACUGGGUUCAGAACGUCGCAAGACAGUUCGGUCCCUAUCUGUGAUGGGCGUUAGAAAAUUGAGUGGACAUGACCUUAGUACGAGAGGACCGGGUCGUACGUACCGCUGGUGUAUCUGUUGUGCCGCCAGGUGCAGUGCAGAGUAGCUAUGUACGGACAGGAUAAACGCUGAAAGCAUCUAAGCGUGAAACCUUCCACAAGAUGAGUUUUCUUUUAAGGGUCGUCAGAGACUAUGACGUUGAUAGGCUAUAGGUAUAAAACUGGUAACAGUAAAGCCGAGUAGUACUAAUUGCCCGUAUGCUUUAAUUUU
RNAcentral lists this ribosomal RNA (977 nucleotides) under Chitinophagaceae bacterium. Its description in RNAcentral is "partial 23S ribosomal RNA". It matches the Rfam family "Bacterial large subunit ribosomal RNA", at positions 1924 to 2925 of the family's 2925-position model. Lineage: Bacteria; Pseudomonadati; Bacteroidota; Chitinophagia; Chitinophagales; Chitinophagaceae. The record is from RNAcentral.